Oreochromis niloticus (Nile tilapia) is the source of this 1644-nucleotide long non-coding RNA. RefSeq lists it as uncharacterized. The transcript is spliced from 2 exons. The record is from RefSeq and is a predicted model, not a curated record. Lineage: Eukaryota; Metazoa; Chordata; Actinopteri; Cichliformes; Cichlidae.
AGGAAAAAAAAUCACUUAUCAGUUAGUAUUUUAGGUAAAACGACAGUAGUCUAAAAGUCCAAUUUCUAGUGGGUUUAUCAACAGACAGCAUUAAACAUGGAAACAGCUUCUGAGUCAGAACAAUAAAGCCGAUGUGAAAGCAACUUAAUCUGCAUUGAGACACCUUAAACCUGGACCAGAUGGCAAUAUCUCUGGUAGGAAAACGACUUCCUAUGCUAUAGAAGUUUAUUGGAAAACAGCUUUCUGAGCUCGACCUUUGUGAACACUUACCUGCUGAGUUUAUGGGUUCAGUAACUCAUUUUGGGUCAUAUUCGGCCCACCCAAACCUUUAAUCAAAACUCUGAUCAUCACACAUGUAGAAUAUGAAGUAUUUCUUUUGUAUUUUGAGAAACACAGUUUGAUCUUCUGAUCAUUUACUUGUUAAACUUAAUGCUCCAUUACAGGCUUGGCAUUUCUUUCCUAUGAGGAGAUAUGAUCAGUCCGAGAUUAAAAACAGGUCAAAAGAGGAGUGUUGAUAGUAAGAACCCAAUGGAUCAUUUUAUUAGAUGAGUUUCUCCUGUAAGGCUUUCCUAGUAUAUCUAAGCUAAAUACCAAAACCCAGAUGAGAAUACCUUUAUCCCUUUUUAUUUAUCCAAAACAAUAUUCCCCCAAAAAAGAAAAAUCCUCCAAGUAUUAAUAAGUUCUUAAUAUGCAGACCCACAUGGAAUACCUUCAUUGCCCACUAGAGGGGCUCAGCUAUUAGCUAAAUUCUUGGCAUAUUUCAGGGUAAUGUGUGCGACAAGUGGAGGACAAAAGAAGAGGUAGCAGGCCUAAACGCUAUCUAUAGCAGAUGAACAGUAUGUGAAAGUCAUGUCCUUAAGAAACAGGAAGAAAUCCAGCAAAGACCUGGCACAGGACCUGAGAGCUGAACUGCCCUUCAGUUGAUCAUCAGAAAUGAUCUCAGUGGAAGGGAAACAGGGGGGAAGGCUGAGAUUGGCCAAAUGACACAGGAACUGGACUGAAAGUCAGUAGCAGCAGGUCUUUGUCAACAUGUACUGAGAAGGUUAGCAGAAAGGUACAACAGUGACAGUACUAUCUGGAAAGUGUCUGAUUAGCAAUGGCUUCAUUUUUCAGCAUGACAAUGAUACUAAACACACUUCCAAUCCAGUAAAAACAUAACCUGGAUAGAAAAACACAAUGGAACACAAUCGGUCAUGGAUUGGCCUCCCCAGAGCCGUGUGGGAUCAUCUUGACAGAGGACAGAACAAAAGGCAGCCAACAUGCAAAGAUGAGCUUUGAAUGUUCUUCAAGAACCUUGGAGAACUAUUCCUGAGGACUACUUAAAGAAAUAAGGAGAAAACUUGCCUGAGAGAGUUCAAGGAAUGCAGUCAACCAUCCUCACAGUGGAUUCAAACAGAUUGUGAAGAAAUUACAUGAAAUAACACAUUCAUAUAACAGAGAGCCUUCCUGUUUCUUACUCCUAACGCUGCAGAUCUUCCAGGAAAACAAGCUGGGCUUUUAUUGUGAAGCAGCUGCAAGAAAAAUAGUCCAUUUUCCAAUGUGUUCAUCACUGACAGUGACUUCUCAUCUAAUACUAUAAAUCUUAAACUAUAAAACGAGACAUUUUUCCUCCAUCGGUUGAAUAUUAAAUUUGUUUUAGACAUA